AGUCGAUUUACAGUCAUUAAAACCUCUAAAAAAAAUGCGGUGCUCGACUAUGGUCAAUGUGCCGUUUCUUCGUGAUUAUUCAAAUAAGAAAGAUCAACUCAAUUUAUCAAAUUAAAAAGUCGUAAAUGUUCUAUACUUAUUUAAAAAGUAAUACUAAACGAUACAGCAGAUACGAGAUACGUUUAGACAAAAUCAUCAAGUAUCCACUAAAAACAGUGCGAAAAAAAAUAAUAAUAACAAAAAAAAAAUAGUGCAAUCAUAUCUUGACGAAAAAAAUCAUACAAAUGACAACCGAACUCUCAUAAUCGAAAUUGAAUUCUUUAACACAUUAUCAAAUCAAUAACACGGAAAAGAAUUUAGGCACAAUUAGCCAAACAGCCAUUAAAAUGAAGCCAUCAUUCGUAAUAGUUAAAAACCGAGUGACACUAACGUGAACAAGCUGGGUCCGUACAAAACAUAUGAGAUAUAGAAAUUGAAAAGGUAUUGAUAGUAACGAAAGGUCCUACACAUAAGAACAAAACACAAUCAAAACAACAAAUUAUUGCAAAUAACACCAUUAACAUCCCACGUAAGAUCGGUUAUCGUAAAUUUUAUUUGAGACUUUUGCUGUAUAGCUCAAGCAUCGUAUCCCAGUAUACGAAUCGUCAAACCGGAUUUGCGAUACAAAAGUUUAAAAAAAUCUCACAAAAGAAAA
Molecule: non-coding RNA, 694 nt
Organism: Schizosaccharomyces pombe (fission yeast)
Lineage: Eukaryota; Fungi; Ascomycota; Schizosaccharomycetes; Schizosaccharomycetales; Schizosaccharomycetaceae
Source: the annotation of a GenBank genome assembly